RNAcentral lists this non-coding RNA (27 nucleotides) under Rattus norvegicus (Norway rat). The record is from RNAcentral. Lineage: Eukaryota; Metazoa; Chordata; Mammalia; Rodentia; Muridae.
UGGUCACUCGGGACUCACAGUCAGGAA